AGUGAACGCUGGCGGUAGGCCUAACACAUGCAAGUCGAACGGCAGCACAGUAAGAGCUUGCUCUUACGGGUGGCGAGUGGCGGACGGGUGAGGAAUACAUCGGAAUCUACUUUUUCGUGGGGGAUAACGUAGGGAAACUUACGCUAAUACCGCAUACGACCUACGGGUGAAAGCAGGGGAUCUUCGGACCUUGCGCGAUUGAAUGAGCCGAUGUCGGAUUAGCUAGUUGGCGGGGUAAAGGCCCACCAAGGCGACGAUCCGUAGCUGGUCUGAGAGGAUGAUCAGCCACACUGGAACUGAGACACGGUCCAGACUCCUACGGGAGGCAGCAGUGGGGAAUAUUGGACAAUGGGCGCAAGCCUGAUCCAGCCAUACCGCGUGGGUGAAGAAGGCAUUCGGGUUGUAAAGCCCUUUUGUUGGGAAAGAAAAGCAGCAGGUUAAUACCCCGCUGUUCUGACGGUACCAAAAGAAUAAGCACCGGCUAACUUCGUG
RNAcentral lists this ribosomal RNA (492 nucleotides) under uncultured bacterium. RNAcentral's name for it is "partial 16S ribosomal RNA". It matches the Rfam family "Bacterial small subunit ribosomal RNA", at positions 29 to 507 of the family's 1533-position model. The record is from RNAcentral.